GAGGUCCAGCCUGCCCAGUGACUGUUCAACGGCCGCGGUAUUCUAACCGUGCAAAGGUAGCGUAAUCACUUGUUUUUUAAAUAAAGACCAGUAUGAAAGGCACCACGAGGAUUAAACUGUCUCUUUUCUCUAAUCAGUGAACCUAAUCUCCCCGUGAAGAAGCGCGGAUUAAAAUAUAAGACAAGAAGACCCUGUGGAGCUUAAAACAAUAGUAUGUUUUUGGUUGGGGUGACCACGGAGAAAAACACAUCCUCCACAAUGAAAAAUAAGUUACAACUUUACGCAUCAAAAAUUGACAUCAUCGACCCAAUAAUUGAUCAAUGAACCAAGUUACCCCAGGGAUAACAGCACAAUCCACUUUGAGAGCUCCUAUCGACAAGUGGGCUUAUGACCUCGAUGUUGGAUCGGGGUAU
Molecule: ribosomal RNA, 413 nt
Filed under: Pristimantis sp. QCAZ 18233
Lineage: Eukaryota; Metazoa; Chordata; Amphibia; Anura; Strabomantidae
Description: partial 16S ribosomal RNA
Rfam family: Bacterial large subunit ribosomal RNA
Source: RNAcentral